UUAAAUUGUAUAAAUUCAUACAACAUAUUCAAAAUUAAAUAUAUUCAUACAACAUAAUCAAAAUGAUAAUAGUUCACUAUCAAAUAUGAAUAAAUACAUAAUGAAUAUUUAAAAUAAUGAUGUUGCACCAUCCUAAAGUAAGUUCCCCAUCAUUAAAUUACAAAUAAAAUUAUAUUUUGUUUUCAAAUUGAAACACAAAUAUGGAAAGUUGGUAAGGAUGGAAAUGACAUGAUGUUUAGAGAGAUUAAUGAAAAGAAAAAAAAGA
This 265-nucleotide long non-coding RNA is filed under the name Lathyrus oleraceus (garden pea). RNAcentral's name for it is "Pisum sativum (pea) long non-coding RNA (PSAT_LNC032205)". Lineage: Eukaryota; Viridiplantae; Streptophyta; Magnoliopsida; Fabales; Fabaceae. The record is from RNAcentral.